UCUUUUCUUUUGAUAGGAGAGUUUUUAAAACCAGUGUUAUUUUUGUAAGUUUAAGAGAAGUUUGUGUAUUGAAUUUUUUAUUUUUAAUAUUAAAGAGCUUUGUUAAACUUAGACUUAAGUUUAGGUCAUUUUGGGGGUUUAGCUCAGUUGGCUAGAGCAUCGGCUUUGCAAGCCGAGGGUCAAGGGUUCGAGUCCCUUAACCUCCAUUGGGCUUAUGUCCUAAAUCGUAAUUAAGUAUGUUUUUAAGUAACUUUGUUAAAGUAAUUGUUGGAAUGUGAAACAGAGGAAGUUAAAAUUUCUGGGUUAAGUUGAGAUCUGUUGAUAUUAAGAAGAAUCUCUAGAAGCAAAAGCAAGCUUUCGAUAAAACCCGAAGUUGUUUCGCUAAAGUGCAAGGAUUAAACAGGAUUGUAUUUUCCAGUAGCCUAUUUUAUAAACGAUCUGCAUUUAGUAAAUAGUUUUUAGUUAAGAAAUAAUGUAGAUUGCUAAGUGUGAUGCCUGAAAGAAGGACAAGUAUUGUAGCGAGCCUAAAUCCUUGUUAUCGUUGUCAGUAUUUAGUGGUAGGGAUUCGGAUAAGACUGCCAUUUAUAAGUUGGAGGAAGGCAAAGAUUGCAUUAAAUCGUUAUCGCUCUUAUGUUUUAGGUUACAAGUUUGCCACAAUAACCCAAAAAAGCUAAGCAAAAUGCUAUAAAGCAGAUUUCAGUUUGGAUUUGCCCGACACUCAAUGGCAUGAAGUUGUAAUUGUUAGUAAUCG
RNAcentral lists this transfer RNA (751 nucleotides) under Borreliella burgdorferi (Lyme disease spirochete). Its description in RNAcentral is "partial contains 16S ribosomal RNA and 16S-23S ribosomal RNA intergenic spacer". The stretch from base 133 to 206 matches the Rfam family "tRNA". Lineage: Bacteria; Pseudomonadati; Spirochaetota; Spirochaetia; Spirochaetales; Borreliaceae. The record is from RNAcentral.